RNAcentral lists this ribosomal RNA (603 nucleotides) under uncultured archaeon. RNAcentral describes it as "bacterial SSU rRNA". It matches the Rfam family "Archaeal small subunit ribosomal RNA", at positions 1 to 599 of the family's 1478-position model. The record is from RNAcentral.
UUCCGGUUGAUCCUGCCGGAGGUUAUUGCUAUCCGAAUUCGACUAAGCCAUGCAAGUCUUGGUGUUCAAUCUUUGGACACUAGGGCAGAAAGCUCAGUAACAUGUAGUUAAUAUGCCCUCAAGUCAGGGAUAAUCUCGGGAAACUGAGGCUAAUACCUGAUAGAUAAGAAGUACUGGAAUGUUUUCUUUUCUAAAGCUUAUGCGCUUGAGGAUUAGACUGCACCGGAUUAGGUUGUUGUUAGGGUAACGUCCUGGCAAGCCGAUAAUCCGUACGAGCCUUGAGAGAGGAAGCUCGGAGAUGGAUUCUGAGACAAGAAUCCAGACCCUACGGGGUGCAGCAGGCGCGAAACUUUCCCAAUGCACGCAAGUGUGAGGAAGGAAUCUGGAGUGCAUUCUCUUAUAUAGGGGAUGCUUUUGUGGAGUGUAAACAGCUCCAAGAAUAAGUGGUGGGUAAGACGGGUGCCAGCCGCCGCGGUAAUACCCGCGCCACGAGUGAUAACCACGAUUAUUGGGCUUAAAGCGUUCGUAGCCGGUCCAAAAAGUCUUUAGUGAAAUCUCAUAGCUAACUAUGAGGCUUGCUAGGGAAACUGUUGGACUUGGAAC